UACGUAGGGGGCAAGCGUUAUCCGGAUUUACUGGGUGUAAAGGGAGCGUAGACGGCUAGUCAAGUCAGAAGUGAAAGCCCAGGGCUCAACCUUGGGACUGCUUUUGAAACUGAGUAGCUAGAGUGCAGGAGAGGUAAGCGGAAUUCCUAGUGUAGCGGUGAAAUGCGUAGAUAUAUGGAAGAACACCAGUGGCGAAAGCGGCUCUCUGGUCUGUAACUGACGCUGAGGUUCGAAAGCGUGGGUAGCAAACAGG
RNAcentral lists this ribosomal RNA (253 nucleotides) under uncultured Lachnospiraceae bacterium. RNAcentral describes it as "partial 16S ribosomal RNA". It matches the Rfam family "Bacterial small subunit ribosomal RNA", at positions 524 to 776 of the family's 1533-position model. The record is from RNAcentral. Lineage: Bacteria; Bacillati; Bacillota; Clostridia; Lachnospirales; Lachnospiraceae.